RNAcentral lists this ribosomal RNA (492 nucleotides) under uncultured bacterium. RNAcentral describes it as "partial 16S ribosomal RNA". It matches the Rfam family "Bacterial small subunit ribosomal RNA", at positions 29 to 507 of the family's 1533-position model. The record is from RNAcentral.
AGUGAACGCUGGCGGUAGGCCUAACACAUGCAAGUCGAACGGCAGCACAGUAAGAGCUUGCUCUUACGGGUGGCGAGUGGCGGACGGGUGAGGAAUACAUCGGAAUCUACUUUUUCGUGGGGGAUAACGUAGGGAAACUUACGCUAAUACCGCAUACGACCUACGGGUGAAAGCAGGGGAUCUUCGGACCUUGCGCGAUUGAAUGAGCCGAUGUCGGAUUAGCUAGUUGGCGGGGUAAAGGCCCACCAAGGCGACGAUCCGUAGCUGGUCUGAGAGGAUGAUCAGCCACGCUGGAACUGAGACACGGUCCAGAAUCCUACGGGAGGCAGCAGUGGGGAAUAUUGGACAAUGGGCGCAAGCCUGAUCCAGCCAUACCGCGUGGGUGAAGAAGGCCUUCGGGUUGUAAAGCCCUUUUGUUGGGAAAGAAAAGCAGCAGGUUAAUACCCCGCUGUUCUGACGGUACCCAAAGAAUAAGCACCGGCUAACUUCGUG